AACGAACGCUGGCGGCAUGCCUAACACAUGCAAGUCGAACGAAACCUUCGGGUCUAUUGGCGUACGGGUGCUUAACGCGUGGGAACCUGCCCUUAGGUUCGGAAUAACUCCCCGAAAGGGGUGCUAAUACCGGAUAAUGUCUUCGGACCAAAGAUUUAUCGCCUUUGGAUGGGCCCGAGUUUGAUUAUCUAGUGUGUAGGGUAAAAGCCUACCAAGGCGACGAUCUAUAGCUGGUCUGAGAGGAUGAUCAGCCACACUGGGACUGAGACACGGCCCAGACUCCUACGGGAGGGGGGAGAGGGGAAUAGUGGACAAUGGGGGAAAGCAUGAUCAAGCAAGGCCGGGUGAGUGAUGAAGGCAUUAGAGUAGUAAAGCUCUUUUACCCGGGAUGAUAAUGACAGUACCGGGAGAAUAAGCGCCGGCUAACUACGUG
Molecule: ribosomal RNA, 433 nt
Filed under: uncultured bacterium
Lineage: Bacteria
Description: partial 16S ribosomal RNA
Rfam family: Bacterial small subunit ribosomal RNA
Source: RNAcentral